ACGUGGGUUCCUUACACCCCAGAGCAUCUAGCAGAGGGAUUUGAUGAGAGUUUCCCGACAAGACCUAAGUAUGCCUUGUCUACCCAUAGGAUUCCCUUGUUGACUGAUUGUGGUUGGGAGCUCUAUUUGGGAGAUCGGGCUUUCCGAUGUAUCACAUGGGAGAUCCGUAUCCCCUUCGGGUGAUCUAGACAUGGAUGGCUUUGCUGAAGGAGAUUCGUCCUUGUGCCAUCUGGAUAUACCCUUUGGUGGAGACAUGAUGCUUAGGAGGAGCUGGCGCAGGUUGUUCAGUUUGAUGAUAGUACUUUCAUAAAUGGUAUAGAUUUUCUUAUAUAAGCGAUUGCUAAUUGUUGGACGUUUGUGCCCUAUUUACAUGUACUUUUUACUUUUAUUUGUAGUACAAAGAUGAUAUUGAUGUAUACAAUUUUAUUUAUUUUGUGGAGAUUUAUAUAUAAUGUUUUUCAUUUGUUGUAUAUGUUAUAUUUUCAUCCAUCAUGAUGCAUGCAUUAUAUGUCAUGGAUUUGCAUUUAUAAAUUGUUAGUUAGAAUUGACCCCUGUAUGGUCUUGUGAUACUAUUGUACAGAUGGCCGAGCAUACGCCACCUACGCGGAUAGCCUCUUGCUUGAGGUCUUGGUAUGAGAGCUUGCCGACUUCGGACCGCAUUUUAGUAAAUCGCAUGAUGGGCCAUUCGAUAUCUUACCAGUCUUUUCAGGUCCCUGAUGGCUUCGUGGAGGGUAUGCUGGCUUAUUGGAUUCCUAAGAGAUAUGUGUUCCGGUUUGAAUCAGAGGAGAUGACCCCCACCUUGGAGGAGUAUCAGCGUAUUUCUAGUUUACCCCUUGAUGGGCCUUGUGCGAGAGUAGCGGAUGGUCAAAUGCACUGCCAGUUUAUGACUCUGACCGAUUUGUGAUGGUCGAUCGUCUUGGGAUGGAUCAGAUCCGGACACGUUGUAUCCUUAGAAUUCCUAAUUGACCAUUUUGGGUCUACUAACAGCUUUAUAGUGUAUCGGGGAGACUUUGCCAUUUCAGAGGAGCGAUCAAGGUACGCUCGUGUAGACACUUUGCUGAUGUGUAUCGCAACAUUUUUGUGCAUACCUUUUUACAUGGAUCACCUUGACAUUGGAUUGGUGAUGGUGGUCAGAUAUUUGCGAGAGGAUCACACCAUUCUCCACAUGAUCUUGCAAGGACUUAUAACUCGGCUUCUCAUUGUCAUGCCUAUAGUGAUGUAUAUUUUUAGGGUAGCUCUGUGAUAUUGUAUGUAUGGUUUAUGAUGCAUCUAAGGCCGAUAGGCACCGUGCAUCGCCAUGGAUACUGCUUCGGGCAUGACAUAACGAUGUCUUAUUCUUUUCGACCGAAUGUUUGCGUGUAUGCAUUGUAUUGGUUUACUUUUGUUUCCGAUAUUGAGGAGUCAUUUUCUGUUUUGGUGUAUUCAGGAUAUUGUUCUCCCUUGAGCUUCAUCACCCACGUUGUUGGCAUGGAUUUCCUUCUGAUAGUCGGUUUGCGAGUUGUGACCACAUAUCACCCGCUGGCUGUCAUGGGCCAGUUUAAUCAGUAUCAGGAUUUUUAGUCUUUCGAGGGCGCUUUGUGUGACGCCCCCAAAAUAGGUCCAAUCCAUCCAACCUAUUCUGAGUCGCCAAAUACAUGGUACAAAAAAUAACUACAAUUGUCGUGCAAAAUACAACAACACAUAUGCUGUGAGUUUUGAUAUAAAUAUAUACUAACUGUGACUCAUGUCCCAAUCGUGGACAAUACCUUACAGUGAUACCUUACAUAAAGGUACAGUCAAUAACUGUUUUAAAAAUUAAAAUCUUUGGGAA
This 1810-nucleotide long non-coding RNA is filed under the name Panax ginseng (ginseng). Its description in RNAcentral is "long non-coding RNA (PGIN_LNC004570)". The record is from RNAcentral. Lineage: Eukaryota; Viridiplantae; Streptophyta; Magnoliopsida; Apiales; Araliaceae.